ACAUAGCAAUUCUGAACGGAGAUUAGAAGGAAGCUUGCGAAUUCUAAACUUAGUGGCGCACGGGUGAGUAACGCGUGGAUAACCUGCCUGGUAGACCGGGAUAACAGCUGGAAACGGCUGCUAAUACCGGAUACGCUUAAGGGAACGCAUGUUCUUUUAAGGAAAGCAAUCGUGCUAUCAGAUGGAUCCGCGUCCCAUUAGCUAGUUGGUGGUGUAAGGGACCACCAAGGCGACGAUGGGUAGCCGGCCUGAGAGGGCGACCGGCCACACUGGGACUGAGACACGGCCCAGACUCCUACGGGAGGCAGCAGUGGGGAAUCUUCCGCAAUGGGCGAAAGCCUGACGGAGCAACGCCGCGUGAGGGAAGAAGGCCUUCGGGUUGUAAACCUCUGUCAUCAAGGAAGAACAGAUGACGGUACUUGGAGAGGAAGCCCCGGCUAACUACGUGCCAGCAGUCGCGGUAAAACGUAGGGGGCGAGCGUUGUCCGGAAUUACUGGGCGUAAAGGGCGCGUAGGUGGUCCAUUAAGUUAGAGGUGAAAGAUCGGGGCUCAACCCCGAGAUUGCCUCUGAUACUGGUGGACUUGAGUGCAGGAGAGGGGAGCGGAAUUCCCAGUGUAUCGUUGAAAUGCUUAUAUAUUGGGAGGAACACCAGUGGCG
Molecule: ribosomal RNA, 658 nt
Filed under: uncultured bacterium
Lineage: Bacteria
Description: bacterial SSU rRNA
Rfam family: Bacterial small subunit ribosomal RNA
Source: RNAcentral